GUCUGAAUAUGGGGGGACCAUCCUCCAAGGCUAAAUACUCCUGACUGACCGAUAGUGAACCAGUACCGUGAGGGAAAGGCGAAAAGAACCCCGGCGAGGGGAGUGAAAAAGAACCUGAAACCGUGUACGUACAAGCAGUGGGAGCCCCACCACCAAAGCAUUCUCUGGUGUUGAAGGCCCUGCAAAGCAGCAUCGCGGUGGCGGAGCGUCGUUUGCGACGCCCAACACACAAAACAAGCGGUGAGUGCUUUGGGGUGGGGUGACUGCGUACCUUUUGUAUAAUGGGUCAGCGACUUAUAUUCUGUAGCAAGGUUAACCGUAUAGGGGAGCCGGAGGGAAACCGAGUCUUAAUUGGGCGUUAAGUUGCAGGGUAUAGACCCGAAACCCGGUGAUCUAGCCAUGGGCAGGUUGAAGGUUGGGUAACACUAACUGGAGGACCGAACCGACUAAUGUUGAAAAAUUAGCGGAUGACCUGUGGCUGGGGGUGAAAGGCCAAUCAAACCGGGAGAUAGCUGGUUCUCCCCGAAAGCUAUUUAGGUAGCGCCUCGUGAAUUCAUCUCCGGGGGUAGAGCACUGUUUCGGCUAGGGGGCCAUCCCGGCUUACCAACCCGAUGCAAACUGCGAAUACCGGAGAAUGUUAUCACGGGAGACACACGGCGGGUGCUAACGUCCGUCGUGAAGAGGGAAACAACCCAGACCGCCAGCUAAGGUCCCAAAGUCAUGGUUAAGUGGGAAACGAUGUGGGAAGGCCCAGACAGCCAGGAUGUUGGCUUAGAAGCAGCCAUCAUUUAAAGAAAGCGUAAUAGCUCACUGGUCGAGUCGGCCUGCGCGGAAGAUGUAACGGGGCUAAACCAUGCACCGAAGCUGCGGCAGCGAACGUAUCACUUAAAGCGAUUCAGC
RNAcentral lists this ribosomal RNA (900 nucleotides) under Salmonella enterica subsp. enterica serovar Blockley. Its description in RNAcentral is "partial 23S ribosomal RNA". It matches the Rfam family "Bacterial large subunit ribosomal RNA", at positions 436 to 1224 of the family's 2925-position model. The record is from RNAcentral. Lineage: Bacteria; Pseudomonadati; Pseudomonadota; Gammaproteobacteria; Enterobacterales; Enterobacteriaceae.